GGCAGGAUAGCUCAGUUGGUAGAGCAGAGGACUGAAAAUCCUUGUGUCCCCGGUUCGAUUCCGGGUCCUGCCACCA
This 76-nucleotide transfer RNA is filed under the name Verrucomicrobiota bacterium. RNAcentral's name for it is "Verrucomicrobia bacterium (anaerobic digester metagenome) tRNA-Phe". It matches the Rfam family "tRNA". From Rfam's summary of the family: Transfer RNA (tRNA) molecules are approximately 80 nucleotides in length. Their secondary structure includes four short double-helical elements and three loops (D, anti-codon, and T loops). The record is from RNAcentral. RNAcentral also lists the same sequence under 5 other names. Lineage: Bacteria; Pseudomonadati; Verrucomicrobiota.